GGUGAGUAACACGUAAACAACCUGCCUUAAGGAUGGGGAUAACAGACGGAAACGACUGCUAAUACCGAAUACGUUCUAAGCAUCGCAUGGUGCAUAGAAGAAAGGGUGGCCUCUACAAGAAAGCUAUCGCCUUAAGAGGGGUUUGCGACUGAUUAGGUAGUUGGUGAGGUAACGGCUCACCAAGCCGACGAUCAGUAGCCGGUCUGAGAGGAUGAACGGCCACACUGGAACUGAGACACGGUCCAGACUCC
RNAcentral lists this ribosomal RNA (251 nucleotides) under uncultured Dialister sp. RNAcentral describes it as "partial 16S ribosomal RNA". It matches the Rfam family "Bacterial small subunit ribosomal RNA", at positions 105 to 339 of the family's 1533-position model. Lineage: Bacteria; Bacillati; Bacillota; Negativicutes; Veillonellales; Veillonellaceae. The record is from RNAcentral.